This 600-nucleotide ribosomal RNA is filed under the name uncultured bacterium. Its description in RNAcentral is "bacterial SSU rRNA". It matches the Rfam family "Bacterial small subunit ribosomal RNA", at positions 82 to 678 of the family's 1533-position model. The record is from RNAcentral.
GCUACCUGAUUCAGCGGCGGACGGGUGAGUAAUGCCUAGGAAUCUGCCCGAUAGUGGGGGACAACGUUUCGAAAGGAACGCUAAUACCGCAUACGUCCUACGGGAGAAAGUGGGGGAUCUUCGGACCUCACGCUAUCGGAUGAGCCUAGGUCGGAUUAGCUAGUUGGUGAGGUAAUGGCUCACCAAGGCGACGAUCCGUAACUGGUCUGAGAGGAUGAUCAGUCACACUGGAACUGAGACACGGUCCAGACUCCUACGGGAGGCAGCAGUGGGGAAUAUUGGACAAUGGGCGAAAGCCUGAUCCAGCCAUGCCGCGUGUGUGAAGAAGGUCUUCGGAUUGUAAAGCACUUUAAGUUGGGAGGAAGGGCAGUAAGCUAAUACCUUGCUGUUUUGACGUUACCAACAGAAUAAGCACCGGCUAACUUCGUGCCAGCAGCCGCGGUAAUACGAAGGGUGCAAGCGUUAAUCGGAAUUACUGGGCGUAAAGCGCGCGUAGGUGGUUCAGCAAGUUGGAUGUGAAAUCCCCGGGCUCAACCUGGGAACUGCAUCCAAAACUACUGAGCUAGAGUACAGUAGAGGGUGGUGGAAUUUCCUGUGUAG